RNAcentral lists this ribosomal RNA (440 nucleotides) under uncultured bacterium. RNAcentral's name for it is "partial 16S ribosomal RNA". It matches the Rfam family "Bacterial small subunit ribosomal RNA", at positions 338 to 795 of the family's 1533-position model. The record is from RNAcentral.
CCUACGGGUGGCUGCAGUAGGGAAUAUUGCUCAAUGGGGGAAACCCUGAAGCAGCAACGCCGCGUGGAGGAUGAAGGUUCUCGGAUUGUAAACUCUUUUUGUUAGAGAAGAUAAUGACGGUAUCUAACGAAUAAGCACCGGCUAACUCCGUGCCAGCAGCCGCGGGAAUACGGGGGGUGCAAGCGUUACUCGGAAUCACUGGGCGUAAAGGGCGCGUAGGGGGGUUAGCAAGUCAGUUGUGAAAUCCUAUGGUUUAACCAUAGAACUGCAUUUGAAACUGUUAUUCUAGAGUAUGGGAGAGGUAGGUGGAAUUCUUGGUGUAGGGGUAAAAUCCGUAGAGAUCAAGAAGAAUACUCAUUGCGAAGGCGACCUGCUAGAACAUGACUGACGCUGAUGCGCGAAAGCGUGGGGAGCAAACAGGAUUAGAUACCCUUGUAGUC